Molecule: long non-coding RNA, 968 nt
Filed under: Meleagris gallopavo (turkey)
Lineage: Eukaryota; Metazoa; Chordata; Aves; Galliformes; Phasianidae
Description: lncRNA (ENSMGAG00000019188.1)
Source: RNAcentral
CAAAACUCUUCCCCUGACAGUUCAAUUAGGGCUAUGCCAGGAUUUGUACAGACUUUUGCAGAGAAAUGAGAAUCUAUCCUAUCCUUUCACUUGCGAGUCAGGAGAAAUCUGCUUAUAAAUUACUGCUGUUUGCAUCUGGGGGAUAAUUACUGCUCAAAGCUCACAGAUAAACCCAAAAUUUUAACUUAAUAAUGUCAAAAAUGUUAACUGUUUUAAAUCACAGCAGCUGUCCUGGACCUUCGCAGUCACUGAGCUGAUUUGCAGUUGUAUCAGUGUGUCAGCAUCCUUCCUGAGGUGCCCGCAGUGCAGGGGGGGACUGGCACUGAGCCCCCGCCUUCCUUCUGUGCACGGCCGUCUUAUCUGCAGAGCAACUUUCUGUUUUCUUUUCUCUCUUCAUUUCCAUAAACAAUAUGCACAAUUCUCAGAGCCAUUCAGUCAGCAAAUAAAGGCAGAGGGCUAAGUAAAUUUGCUUCACACCAAUUAUUUUUGUGAGGUCACCGAGUUAAGCAUUAAAGAAUACUGCUGCGGAUGAGCACUCGGGAACAGUGUGACUGUGGUAUGAGGUGCACAAAGCACCCAGUGCCCGGCAGAACACGACAUUUAUUGGGAAGCUUUGUUCCACGAGCUAACAGAACAAUAAUCCUUUUCAUUUAACAACUCCGCAUUACUCAUUUCCCCACGUAGCCCAGCUGCACUGUAAGCCACUUUUGUAAGUCACACCAUAGGAGAGAAAGCGAAAGAUGUGUGAUUUCAGGGGGAAAAGAAGGGAUUGCUCAGUUCCAUCGCGAGCUGAUUGUUUCUGUGCACAGCGUGAGGACGCAUCUGUUCCUACGAGAGCUGCACUGGCCCAGUGGUAGCACCUACACCUGUGUACAACCAGCAAACACACGCGUGGACCUGAGCCUCCAGGAGGCCCCUGCACCAGGGCAGCACAAAAGGCUCCCUGUGUUUGGGAGCAGUGUAGAUGG